GGGGUAUAGUUAGCUCAGUGGUAGAGCAUUUGACUGCAGAUCAAGAGGUCCCCAGUUCAACUCUGGGUGCCCCC
Molecule: transfer RNA, 74 nt
Filed under: Perca fluviatilis (European perch)
Lineage: Eukaryota; Metazoa; Chordata; Actinopteri; Perciformes; Percidae
Description: tRNA-Cys
Rfam family: tRNA (bases 11-67)
About the family: Transfer RNA (tRNA) molecules are approximately 80 nucleotides in length. Their secondary structure includes four short double-helical elements and three loops (D, anti-codon, and T loops). Further hydrogen bonds mediate the characteristic L-shaped molecular structure. tRNAs have two regions of fundamental functional importance: the anti-codon, which is responsible for specific mRNA codon recognition, and the 3' end, to which the tRNAs corresponding amino acid is attached (by aminoacyl-tRNA synthetases). tRNAs cope with the degeneracy of the genetic code in two manners: having more than one tRNA (with a specific anti-codon) for a particular amino acid; and 'wobble' base-pairing, i.e. permitting non-standard base-pairing at the 3rd anti-codon position.
Source: RNAcentral